Molecule: ribosomal RNA, 460 nt
Filed under: uncultured bacterium
Lineage: Bacteria
Description: partial 16S ribosomal RNA
Rfam family: Bacterial small subunit ribosomal RNA
Source: RNAcentral
CCUACGGGAGGCAGCAGUGAGGAAUAUUGGUCAAUGGCCGGAAGGCUGAACCAGCCAUGCCGCGUGAAGGUUAGUGCCCUAUGGGCGUUAAACUUCUUUUGUGCGGGAGCAAUAAUGGUCACGUGUGGCCAGACGAGAGUACCGUACGAAUAAGCAUCGGCUAACUCCGUGCCAGCAGCCGCGGUAAUACGGGGGAUGCAAGCGUUAUCCGGAUUUAUUGGGUUUAAAGGGUGCGUAGGCUGUGAGGUAAGUCAGCGGUGAAAUGCCCCCGCUCAACGGGGUGAAGUGCCAUUGAUACUGCCUGGCUGGAAUGCGGAUGCCGUGGGAGGAAUGUGUGGUGUAGCGGUGAAAUGCAUAGAUAUCACACAGAACACCGAUUGCGAAGGCAUCUCACGAAGCCGCGAUUGACGCUGAUGCACGAAAGCGUGGGUAUCAAACAGGAUUAGAUACCCGGGUAGUC